RNAcentral lists this ribosomal RNA (253 nucleotides) under uncultured bacterium. Its description in RNAcentral is "partial 16S ribosomal RNA". It matches the Rfam family "Bacterial small subunit ribosomal RNA", at positions 524 to 776 of the family's 1533-position model. The record is from RNAcentral.
UACGUAGGGUGCAAGCGUUAAUCGGAAUUACUGGGCGUAAAGCGUGCGCAGGCGGUUGUGUAAGUCUGACGUGAAAUCCCCGGGCUUAACCUGGGAAUGGCGUUGGAGACUGCAUGGCUAGAGUGUGUCAGAGGGAGGUAGAAUUCCACGUGUAGCAGUGAAAUGCGUAGAUAUGUGGAGGAAUACCGAUGGCGAAGGCAGCCUCCUGGGAUAACACUGACGCUCAUGCACGAAAGCGUGGGGAGCAAACAGG